GCCUACGGCCAUACCAGUCUGAAAGUGCCUGAUCUCGUCAGAUCUCAGAAGUCAUGCAGACUUGGGCCUGCUUAGUACUUGUAUGGGAGACCAACUAGGAACCUCAGGUGCGGUAAGCU
Non-coding RNA from Pelobates cultripes (western spadefoot toad), 119 nucleotides. NCBI's taxonomy places the organism in Eukaryota, Metazoa, Chordata, Amphibia, Anura, Pelobatidae. The record is from the annotation of a GenBank genome assembly.